This 253-nucleotide ribosomal RNA is filed under the name uncultured bacterium. RNAcentral describes it as "partial 16S ribosomal RNA". It matches the Rfam family "Bacterial small subunit ribosomal RNA", at positions 524 to 776 of the family's 1533-position model. The record is from RNAcentral.
UACGGGGGGGGCAAGCGUUGUUCGGAAUUACUGGGCGUAAAGGGCUCGUAGGCGGCCAACUAAGUCGGACGUGAAAUCCCCAGGCUCAACCUGGGAACUGCGUCCGAUACUGGAUGGCUUGAAUUCGGGAGAGGGAUGCAGAAUUCCAGGUGUAGCGGUGAAAUGCGUAGAUAUCUGGAGGAACACCGGUGGCGAAGGCGGCAUCCUGGACCGACACUGACGCUGAGGAGCGAAAGCCAGGGGAGCAAACGGG